Molecule: long non-coding RNA, 1520 nt
Organism: Arabidopsis thaliana (thale cress)
Lineage: Eukaryota; Viridiplantae; Streptophyta; Magnoliopsida; Brassicales; Brassicaceae
Product: other RNA
Exons: 2
Source: RefSeq
AAAACACUCCUCAAGCAGAUUCAGUAACCGAUCAUUCUGCUUCUCCAUUGCCAUCACCAAAGCUUUCUUCACUACUUCGUGGUUGAAAAAAGGCAUCCCUAGAUCGCGGAUACAUUGACAAGCUUCUGAUGUUACUCCUCCUGUUUCGUAUUCUUCUAGGAGUUUCGAGAUUUUGUCCUUUGCAUCUUCCACUAUCCAGCCGGUUCCACCUCCCCAGCUUCUUAGGAGUCUCUCUCCUGCGUGUCUGGCGGAGAUAAGAGACCUGGCUGAGCGGACUGUUUCGGUUCCGGUUGAUUUUGGAGGCAGCUUGGUUGAGAUAUCUUCAAGGUUAAGUGGAGCUAAGACGUCGUCAAUCACAGCUCUAGCUAAAAACAGAGCAAGUUCGUUUGAUGCGUCCAUGAUAUCUAAAGCUGUGUCUUCUGCCGAUUCCAGGAGCAUAAUGAAACCGUUUAUGAAAUCUUCAGUUGAGAAUAGCUCCAUGUGAAGAGCAGAAAGAAGAACCGAAGCCAUUUCCUUUUCUCUGUUUUUCCUGUCUAGAGCAAGAGUUAUGAGCCUCUUCAGAAACACCGGGUUAUAUUCAGAGGUUAUCUUAAAUGAAUCAUCGAGCCAGCCUCCAGAAAUAGCCUUUGGAACUAUCGAAUCAAACAGCUUUUUGGCAGAUGGGAUAUCUAGAGCAAGGUCAUCGAGACUCUCUGCUACUCGGAAGAAUCCCUUCACCAUUUGACUCGAACUGAUCAGUCCUUCUUCAGCAGUUUCCUUCAACAGCUUUAGUACAAGUGACUCAGCGGUUGGAGAAUCCAUCGCCAGAACCAAAGCCCUCUUCACAACCUCAUGAUGGAAAAACGAGACACCUAAUUCCCUGAUGCAUCUACAAGCUUCGUAAGUGUCUCCGUUUUCCACGUAUUCCUUCAAGAUUUCAGAUAUCUUUUUCUUCGUUUCUUCUACUGUAGUGUGAGUACUACCUCCCCAUUUCUUCUCCACUAGUUCUGCAUGGUGAGGAGCUGAGAGAUAGCUCUUUUCUGCAGUUACAAUAACCUGAAACCCUUUGCAAGAUUCUGGAAGAAUCUUCUUAGAUCUAACCAGAAAAACCGGAGGGAGAAUUUCGUCAACGAUGGCCCGUGCAAUAAACAAUGCAAGGACAUUAACAGCAUCAAGGAUGUCCACCGCAAGGUCAUCAACAGAUCUGAGAAGUCUUAUAAAUCCAUCCCUAAUUUGAUCAGGUAAAAUAACAUCAGCAUACAAUGCAGAGAGUAGCACUGAAGCCAUUUCCUUCUCCUUAUCGUGUCUGUCCAUGGCCAUAGAAACAAGUCGCUUGGUGAAGUAAGGAUGAUAUUCGCUUGAACCAAGUUCCCUGAGGUCAGAUGCCGCCACUUUCACAUCCCCGGUGCUAAAGUAUUCGUCAAUGAUGGAAACUACUGACUUUUUGUAAUCAUUCAACGGGUCUGAUACCGGUGAAUCAACAAGUCCAUCAUAUGCGUCCUGUUAAAUUGAGUAUAUGAAUGAAAAAAGCAAACUACUAA